CUUUGAUCCUUCUUCAAGGCCUGGGAAUAACCUCAGGCAGCCAGGACCUGCUCUGCCUGUGGGGCUCACAGAUUGCAUGAAGUGCAAGGAUGAGCUGAAAGUGUGGCUCUGAAGCAGCAACUGAUGGGACAACUCUGAGGUCAUCUACUUACCCUCGAGGGACUGAGGCAGCUCUCUCUGUGAGAUUGCUGAUAUGCAACUGGGCUUGGCCUCUUUAUUCUUCUUGGACCGACUUGACUUCUCACUUUCCUGUUUCUCCUGGGAACACUCGUAAGGAAUGGCUCAGUGAAUUUCCUUCUCAAGGUCGGCUUUGGGGAUCAUAUGGUGUGCUGGUCCUGGACCUGUUUGCACUCAGAUCCAUCCUUCUGCUCUGCCUUGUUCUGGGGUGAAGAAGUUGAUCCUCGGCAGGGUGACUUUUUCAGGCUCUAGAGAAUUUCUGAAAGGACUGAGUCAACGGGCAGCAGGAAUAUAUCAACCAUGGAAAAUUAGAGAGCAGGGUGAGGAGCGGUUUUUGGGGGAGGGAGCUAUCAAGACACUCCCUCCUGUUUUCAGCCUAAGGUGGCCUCUCCAGUGGCUUUAUCUUCUCUGUGACUCCAGCCCCCAUUGUAUCGAGGCCACCAGAGAUCCAGUCUCCCAGAGUGGUCCUCUUGGUGCCAGUAAUUCCAUGUUUUCCUUUUGUCUCUCCAGCCCAAGAAUGAUAAAGACUUCCUGCUAUCGUCAAUCUCCCAGGAUUAUUUUAGAGCCCUCUGUUUAAUUCUCAGCCUCUCCACUCUUCAUGGACCCACCACUGCUUUCCAUUCCUUCUGCUGUGAACAUUUGAGAUGAUUUCUGCUUUCUUGGUUAAUCUAUGGCUAACCACAGUGUUCACCUCUACUUUAUUUUAUAAUUGAGGAAGGAAAAUAUGAGCAUAGAUACAUUAAAGGAGCAGACCCAAACUAGCUCCUUGUAUCCAAACAAAAUGAAAGAAGGUUGUAUCCAAACCUUCUUUUGAUGCUGGUAUCUAUUUUUUGGUGCUUAGAUACCAGCAUCAAAGGAAGGUUUGUUUUAUGCUUAUUCUCAUGGCCCAAUAAUGAGAUGCAGAUGAACUGGAUAGAAGGGAGUUUAUUUAUAUAACUAGGUACAGAGAGAAGGCUGGGAAAUAUUGCCAGACCAACUCAAAAUUAUAAAGUUUUCCAGAGCUUAUACACCUUCUAAGCUAUAUGUCUAUGUGUAAGUAUGUAAGUGUGCAUUCAUCUAAAGACAUAAGUAAUAAACUUUUUUUUUUUUUUUCUUG
This 1273-nucleotide long non-coding RNA is filed under the name Homo sapiens (human). Its description in RNAcentral is "HSALNT0217149". Lineage: Eukaryota; Metazoa; Chordata; Mammalia; Primates; Hominidae. The record is from RNAcentral.